CAAAGGUUUGGUCCUGGCCUUUUUAUUAGUUGUUAGCAAAAUUAUACAUGCAAGACUCAUCCUUCCAGUGAGAAUGCCCUCCAUGUCAACAAGACUCAGAGGAGCGGGUAUCAAGCACACCUUCAGUAGCUCAUUACACCUUGCUCAGCCACACCCCCACGGGAUACAGCAGUAAUUAAAAUUAAGCAAUAAACGAAAGUUUGACUAAGUUAUGCAACAUCAUAUAGGGUUGGUAAAUUUCGUGCCAGCCACCGCGGUCAUACGAUUAACCCUAAUUAAUAAAGCCCGGCGUAAAGAGUGUUAAAAAUACAAAAACAAUAAGAUUAAAUUUUACCUAAGUCGUAAAAAACAACAGAUAAAAAUAAAAUCAUAAACGAAAGUAAUCUUAAUAGAUCUGAAUACACUAAAGCUAAGACCCAAACUGGGAUUAGAUACCCCACUAUGCUUAGCCAUAAACAAAGAUAUUUAAUAACAAAAAUUUUCGCCAGAGUACUACUUAGCAACAGCUUAAAACUCAAAGGACUUGGCGGUGCUUUAAACCCA
Molecule: ribosomal RNA, 543 nt
Filed under: Capromys pilorides (Desmarest's hutia)
Lineage: Eukaryota; Metazoa; Chordata; Mammalia; Rodentia; Capromyidae
Description: partial 12S ribosomal RNA
Rfam family: Bacterial small subunit ribosomal RNA
Source: RNAcentral